RNAcentral lists this ribosomal RNA (459 nucleotides) under uncultured bacterium. RNAcentral describes it as "partial 16S ribosomal RNA". It matches the Rfam family "Bacterial small subunit ribosomal RNA", at positions 338 to 795 of the family's 1533-position model. The record is from RNAcentral.
CCUAGGGUGGCAGCAGUGAGGAAUAUUGGUCAAUGGGCGCGAGCCUGAACCAGCCAAGUAGCGUGAAGGAUGACUGCCCUACGGGUUGUAAACUUCUUUUAUCAAGGAAUAAAGUGAUGCACGUGUGCCUUUUUGUCUUUACUUUAUGAAUAAGGAUCGGCUAACUCCGUGCCAGCAGCCGCGGUAAUACGGAGGAUCCGAGCGUUAUCCGGAUUUAUUGGGUUUAAAGGGAGCGUAGAUGGGUUGUUAAGUCAGUUGUGAAAGUUUGCGGCUCAACCGUAAAAUUGCAAUUGAUACUGGCAGCCUGGAGUACAGUUGAGGUAGGUGGAAUUCGUGGUGUAGCGGUGAAAUGCUUAGAUAUCACGAAGAACUCCGAUGGCGAAGGCAGCCUACUAAACGGCCACUGACAUUGAUGCUCGAAAGUGUGGGUAUCAAACAGGAUUAGAUACCCUUGUAGUC